CUGGCCGUAAACGAUGGAUACUAGGUGUAAGUGGUAUCGACCCCACUUGUGCCGUAGCUAACGCAUUAAGUAUCCCGCCUGGGGAGUACGGCCGCAAGGUUGAAACUCAAAGGAAUUGACGGGGGCCCGCACAAGCGGUGGAGCAUGUGGUUUAAUUCGUUACUAACCGAAGAACCUUACCCAGGCUUGACAUCCCCGGACAGCCCAUGAAAGUGGGUCUUCUCCCUCAAAAGGGGAGACUGGGUGACAGGUGU
Molecule: ribosomal RNA, 254 nt
Filed under: uncultured Armatimonadota bacterium
Lineage: Bacteria; Bacillati; Armatimonadota
Description: uncultured Armatimonadetes bacterium partial 16S ribosomal RNA
Rfam family: Bacterial small subunit ribosomal RNA
Source: RNAcentral